Molecule: ribosomal RNA, 607 nt
Filed under: Salmonella enterica subsp. enterica serovar Infantis
Lineage: Bacteria; Pseudomonadati; Pseudomonadota; Gammaproteobacteria; Enterobacterales; Enterobacteriaceae
Also listed under: 1 other name
Description: bacterial SSU rRNA
Rfam family: Bacterial small subunit ribosomal RNA
Source: RNAcentral
AAAUUGAAGAGUUUGAUCAUGGCUCAGAUUGAACGCUGGCGGCAGGCCUAACACAUGCAAGUCGAACGGUAACAGGAAGCAGCUUGCUGCUUCGCUGACGAGUGGCGGACGGGUGAGUAAUGUCUGGGAAACUGCCUGAUGGAGGGGGAUAACUACUGGAAACGGUGGCUAAUACCGCAUAACGUCGCAAGACCAAAGAGGGGGACCUUCGGGCCUCUUGCCAUCAGAUGUGCCCAGAUGGGAUUAGCUUGUUGGUGAGGUAACGGCUCACCAAGGCGACGAUCCCUAGCUGGUCUGAGAGGAUGACCAGCCACACUGGAACUGAGACACGGUCCAGACUCCUACGGGAGGCAGCAGUGGGGAAUAUUGCACAAUGGGCGCAAGCCUGAUGCAGCCAUGCCGCGUGUAUGAAGAAGGCCUUCGGGUUGUAAAGUACUUUCAGCGGGGAGGAAGGUGUUGCGGUUAAUAACCGCAGCAAUUGACGUUACCCGCAGAAGAAGCACCGGCUAACUCCGUGCCAGCAGCCGCGGUAAUACGGAGGGUGCAAGCGUUAAUCGGAAUUACUGGGCGUAAAGCGCACGCAGGCGGUCUGUCAAGUCGGAUGUGA